Molecule: ribosomal RNA, 273 nt
Filed under: uncultured bacterium
Lineage: Bacteria
Description: partial 16S ribosomal RNA
Rfam family: Bacterial small subunit ribosomal RNA
Source: RNAcentral
UACGAAGGGUGCAAGCGUUAAUCGGAAUUACUGGGCGUAAAGCGCGCGUAGGUGGUUCAGUAAGUUAGGAGUGAAAGCCCCGGGCUUAACCUGGGAAUUGCUUCUAAAACUGCUGAGCUAGAGUACGGUAGAGGGUGGUGGAAUUUCCUGUGUAGCGGUGAAAUGCGUAGAUAUAGGAAGGAACAUCAGUGGCGAAGGCGACCACCUGGACUGAUACUGACACUGAGGUGCGAAAGCGUGGGGAGCAAACAGGAUUAGAUACCCCGGUAGUCC